AGUGAAGCGGGAUGAGCUCAAAUUUAAAAUCUGGCUGGUUUACUAGUCCGAAUUGUAGUUUAAAGAAGUGUUUUCGGUGGCAGCCUGGGUAUAAAUCCUUUGGAACAGGGUAUCAUAGAGGGUGAGAAUCCCGUCUUUGACUCAGUGCAUGCUACUAUGUGAUACAUUUUCAAAGAGUCGAGUUGUUUGGGAAUGCAGCUCAAAAUGGGUGGUAAAUUUCAUCUAAGGCUAAAUAUUGGCGAGAGACCGAUAGCGAACAAGUACCGUGAGGGAAAGAUGAAAAGAACUUUGAAAAGAGAGUUAAACAGUGCGUGAAAUUGUUGAAAGGGAAACGCUUGACACCAGUCAUGCGAGCGGAAAAUCAGUCUUUUGCAGUGGGGGGUUGUGUGGGAUCGGACCGCAAGGCCGGCCUAUGCUGCAUCUCUGCUGUAAGUGAUGCACUUUUUCGUUUGCAGGCCAACAUCAGUUUCUUCUGCUGGACAAAACUCUUGAGAAGGUAGCAGCUUUGGCUGUGUUAUAGCUCUUGAGCGAUACAGUGGAGGGGACUGAGGUUUUCGCAGCGCGUGCUUUCGGGCAAGGCUGAUUGGGUGCUAUGGGAUCGUUCGGUGUACAAUGCAUGCAUUUUGCGCCGUGUCUUUUCUGUACUCGCUCAACUCGGCUCUUCCGCGCUUAGGAUGUUGGCUUAAUGGUUUUAAUCGACC
Molecule: ribosomal RNA, 701 nt
Filed under: Mortierella polygonia
Lineage: Eukaryota; Fungi; Mortierellomycota; Mortierellomycetes; Mortierellales; Mortierellaceae
Description: eukaryotic LSU rRNA
Rfam family: Eukaryotic large subunit ribosomal RNA
Source: RNAcentral